CUAAUGGCGAACGGGUGAGUAACGCGUUGGUGACCUACCCCAAAGUGGGGGAUAACAGAUCGAAAGAUCUGCUAAUACCCCAUGUUGUCAUUGUGCUCAGAAAACAAUGAUUAAAGGAGUAAUCCGCUUUGGGAGGGGCCUGCGUCCCAUCAGCUAGUUGGUAGGGUAAUGGCCUACCAAGGCUAUGACGGGUAAGGGACCUGAGAGGGUGGCCCCUCACAAUGGAACUGAAACACGGUCCAU
RNAcentral lists this ribosomal RNA (243 nucleotides) under uncultured bacterium. RNAcentral's name for it is "partial 16S ribosomal RNA". It matches the Rfam family "Bacterial small subunit ribosomal RNA", at positions 92 to 334 of the family's 1533-position model. The record is from RNAcentral.